This 165-nucleotide ribosomal RNA is filed under the name uncultured bacterium. Its description in RNAcentral is "partial 16S ribosomal RNA". It matches the Rfam family "Bacterial small subunit ribosomal RNA", at positions 1335 to 1500 of the family's 1533-position model. The record is from RNAcentral.
CUAGUAAUCGCGGAUCAGCAUGCCGCGGUGAAUGCGUUCUCGGGCCUUGUACACACCGCCCGUCACACCAUGAGAGUCGGGAACACCCGAAGUUCGUAGCCUAACCGCAAGGGGGCGCGGCCGAAGGUGGGCUCGAUAAUUGGGGUGAAGUCGUAACAAGGUAGC